AAGCGAUUUAAAUUAGUAGUAGAAUGGCUAAGGCUUAGUAGAAGAGUAGGCCUAGAAAGCAACACUCCAAAGUAGCAACUUUGUUUGUGUGAAGUGGAAACCAUAAUCAAAGGAUCUAGUCAAGCAUGUAUAUAACGAUUUUCAAGCAUGUAUAUAAUGAUUUGUUACCUUGGAUGUGGUAAGGGUCUGUUAAACAGUUUCUAGGAGUAAGACAACCUAAGCAGAUUUAUGAUUAGAGUAGAUGAUUAUCAAUUGUUAUCAGCAUGAAGUAUGAUCUUAUUUGUAACUGAAUGUAACUGUUUUCUGUGGAAACUGCACGUAAACUUGUUUGUGUAAAAGUAUAAAAGCUGAACUGAGAAUGAGGGUCUUUGGAAUCCUGACUUGGGACGCUAGUCCUCAGGUUCCCGGGCCCUGAAUAAAGCACCGCAUAAACCGGCA
Long non-coding RNA from Pseudopipra pipra, 438 nucleotides. RefSeq lists it as uncharacterized. Lineage: Eukaryota; Metazoa; Chordata; Aves; Passeriformes; Pipridae. The transcript has 2 exons. The record is from RefSeq and is a predicted model, not a curated record.